This is a long non-coding RNA of Hippocampus comes (tiger tail seahorse), 696 nucleotides long. RefSeq lists it as uncharacterized. The record is from RefSeq and is a predicted model, not a curated record. The transcript is spliced from 2 exons. Lineage: Eukaryota; Metazoa; Chordata; Actinopteri; Syngnathiformes; Syngnathidae.
UGAUAACAUUUAAUUACAAUGAGAAAAGAGGAAUAUUACCCAGUCAAAGUGUUUGUAUGAUGCAUUUUAAUGUCACUUUGCCAGAUUACAGAUCAUAAGUACGCGGCACCCUUAAAUGAAAACUCCUCAUACACAUUUGACAGCGAUUUUUUUCAUUUACACCAAAUGAACUUGUCGAUGUCGUUCGACACCUGGUCAACGUUUUUGACAUAUCUGUUUCUCCACUUCCCGUGUGACAACAUCCCAUUGGUUAGAAACAUUGAAAGGUCGGAAUUCCUGACUUUUCAUUGGUCGUCAGUGCUGUCGGUGCAGCGCGAAGGCCCGCCCUUUAACUGCUCUUUGCUAUGUGGAUUAUCUCUCGAAAUGAGAAAGCGACUAAGAUCGGUGGUCCCCUGGCUUGGCUACCUGAAGGAGUGCCUGAAGUGCACGCUCCUCCUCUUCAGCUUCUCGGGAUUGUGGGACGCCAUGUGUGAGAAUUCUCGGAAGAUGUCCAGGUACGUGGCGUCUCCUGAGGAAGAACCACAGCCGAGGAUGAGGAUGCAAACACCGGAUGGGGGCGGCGGAGCGGAAUGUUAAUGAGCACCAAAGCCUUUUCUCGACACCGAACGGUAGUCACGGCAACGACUCGGUCCGACCACACUGUAUCUUUUGUGUCACCUCUGUGUUCUCAGGCUCAAUUAAAAAACAAACAAUGAA